GCCCAAGUGAUUAGCAUUUUAGCUAGCAGCGUGGUAGCUAGCUAGUGACGCAGUUUAUAACUAACGUUAAGUAAAGGAAGGAGCUGUAACGCAUUGUUGCUGUUGACGUGAUAAACUAAGUUAUUACAUGUACUGUGUGUAUGCUUUGUGCGCAAAUAGUACGUUUGAGAAAUGUAGUUGCUAACAUUAGUUACUCAUUUCUGUGUCUUAGUCACUAUAGUGUAUACUGUAUCUGGGCAAAGUGAGGGAAGCUUGAUUAUUAGCGCGUAUUUUAUUUCCGAGGGUGAGGGGAUUUUGGAUUGACCCUCGGUACAACAUGAGUGCCAGAUGACCUGAGAAGUCCGAGUGGAGAGAGGCCAUUGAGUAGAAGAGACUAGGCCAAUGCAUUAUUCAGUGUUACAGGUUACAGGUGUACGUCUCUGCAGGUCUGGUUCGAUACGCUUCUACAGCCAUUUUUAUGUGGUAAAGGUUUUUGUGACUGUUGAUGUGUUUGCAGAAACUUAGGUUUGACACUGAAGAAGAAGAUAAGGGAUCAUUUUGUCUUUAAUCAACACUAAAUAUUUCUGCUCUAUAUUUUCAAGCAUUUUAAAAUCAUGCGUUUUGAUUUUGUCCAAACCUUGUUGGAGGAGGAACGCUGGUGUGCAGUUAUGAUGUGGAGGGGAAGGUGCCAGCCUUCACCCCAGGCCACUGUCCCAUGUCGCGGGAGUAUCACAUGGCUGUUGGAUCACUGAGCCGGAGGGACGGCGCACAACAUAUGCAAUCCAGAUGAUUGGUGUGAAGAGAACGCAGUUCCUGCCUCACAGCAGCUUCCCUCCUCCCAGGAAGCAGUACUACAACUGCCACAGCUUGUUUGCUGCCUCAAGCUGCAGUUCCUCUGGCGACCACUAGUUGGUGACUCCAAGAAAACUGAAGUAACUGGGAAAAUCCUAAUUUAUGCCCAUUUUCACUUUUUCUGAGAUGCUUUUUGACAGUUAUCUUCUGUUCAUCAGUCUUAAUGUCUGUGUGUACUUCAUGUUUCGACUGGCUGCAAGUUUCAGCAUUUACAUUCAAACUUAAAGCUUAAUACUGGGGUUUAUUAAAUCCAAUUAAAACAAAUUUGUAUCUGCUACUUUACUGACCAUUCACGUUAAAUCCCUACUGUGGCAAAAAUCUAUCAAAACCUUUUUGCUAGCAUUCAACAGCAACAUAUCCAAUUAGCUUUAGUCACAGAAGUGCUGUCAAACCGAAAUUGCAACUUUGUUGAUACUGACAAAAAAAAUGUAUCUUGAGUUGUAUCAUUCAGAUUUUGUUAGUUGCUGCCAACAGUUGUCUGCAUAUUUUUAUGACCACAAAAAGUGAAGGGAUAUGUUAAAAUUUAUGCAACUUCAUUGACAGCUUUGUAGAGCUUCAAACAUCCAGCCUGAACAGACCGCUAGCUGCUAACUAGCUGCUAAGUGUAGACUAGUGAAGACAAGGAUGCUACGGCAUGUCACUAUAAUCUCCUAUUAGCUAUGACAUAGCAUACAAAUCAUUUGUGUUGAUAGUAAGCAUGUUUGCUACCUGCUAACCAAAUGGCUAAAAGCUAAAAUAACCUACUAAAUUAACAUAUUCAGUAUUUAGAAAGAAAAGAUAUGUGUGAAUUUAGACCAAUUUUUACGACAUGGCUGGAGAGGUUUGAUACAGUCCAGAGCUCCAUGCAUACUUCACACCAUGUGUUGUGCAUUUUCCACCCAUUACUUUUGCAGAUUGUGCAGUUUAAGUCACAAAAACAUGUUGUCCAUGAGCUCUCAGCGAUUCUGGUCUGUUUCUAGGUCUGGGUCUGCAGGCAUGUCUCAGAUCUCAGUGCCUAGUUUUAUUGAGAAGAGCAAGAUUAUUUUACUGAUUAUUUUCUUCAGUUAACGGCUUCAUUGUUUGGUUUGUAAAAUGUACAAUGUCCUCUACAACAUUUCCAAGGUGACAUCUUCCGAUGUCUUGUCUGAAGCCCCCAAACAUUCAGUUUAUAUAAUUCACUAUCAGAAUGUCUACAUUAGUGUGACCCACUCUCUCUGCCCUUCUUUUUUCUUGCACUCCUGUUUAAGUUUAUCCUCAAUAUCAUGUAACUUUCUGAGCAGGAGAAGGAGUUUGUCUUUGUUUCUGUCUCUGCCAGUCCUUCUCAUUCCUGAGUGGCAGCAGACAAUGUCAGAAUUGACUCAUCCCUUCAUCACCUGUCAGAUUACGGGACGACUGUUUUCUAUGUGAAACAUAUCAUUUGACACCACCUAUCAACAGCAUUUCUCAUUUCUUCAACUGAGACUUAUCAGAUUAUUUUUAAGCACAUUUAUCCUCCUGAUAAAUGGCGGUGUGCUGUAAGGCCACAUGGUUCAGAUAUGUCUGUAUUUUCUUGUUCAGCUGUCCUGCAUGUGAACAUGUUUACAUGUUCAGGCACAAUCAUCACCAAAUCGCAUGUUUGCUAAUUGCUCACGCUGCACCAGUUGUGGACAAUUGCAUCUCUCCUCCCAAUCAUGAAGAGUGUGACCCCAGAGGUCAAACACUUGACCCUUGAAGUCCUGCUGAGAUUUGCUUAUGUAUAAUUAGGACUGUUUAGAGCCUUUGUAUGCCUGAGUGGACACAUGUAGAGCUCUGUGGAAUGGUCUGUUCUUCCUUCCUGCCCUGGUGAAAAUACUUCACUGGCCGCAGAGGGAAAGAUACACACUGAUCAUCUGCACAAGAACAACUGUUGUAAUUGGAACACACUAACUGGGCUUAUGGGAACUAGUUUGAAAGACAAGUGUUCAAGUGACUGAGCACCAUAUAAACUACUUUCUUGUUAUUGUGGAUACUCUUUCUGUACAUUUUUGUACAGUUUUUAUGUCAAUAGUGGCAGGAAACAUAAAAUAUGCAUUAAGCUUCUACCCAGGUUAUGGACUAUCACAACCAUAACCAUUCAGGGCGGCUGUAGCUUGGGAGGUAGAGUAGGUCAUCUCCUAACUGUAGUGUUGACGUUUCAGUCCUCAGCGUCUCCAGUCCACACGCUGAAGUGUCCCUGGGCAAGACACUGAACCCCAAGUUGUUCCCUGUGAUAUCACAGGUGUGUGAAAGCAUUUUGAGUGUGCUUCAGUGUAAUAAGUUCAGGGUUUUACAAAUACUAGGGUCUGAAGUUCAUAGUUGAAUCCCCAUUCCCUUAUAUUCUUGAUCCUCGCUGGACAGGAGAGUUCUGGUCCGCCAUGAUGAAGGACGUCAUCCCAGACCUCUUAUUUGUGCUCUGAGGGGUGAGGAGGCUGCUGGAGGACUUAUAACAAAGGAUACAUGAGUGCAUCCUUUGUAGAAGCCUGUUACAGAUUGACAUGCCCCUUUACUGGAAACCAGUUUGUGAUUGGAUGCUUCACAUUAAGGAUUGUUACAUGGGCGGGACUAAGACUCAAGGAAAAGACGCAAGUGAGGGAAAUACGCAUGCAAUUAGGUGAAUUGAGAUCCAGCUCAUGUCUCCGUAAUGCAGCCACUAUCUUUAAGACUUUUUAUUCAAUUAACUGAUCGUUUAUUAGUUCCCCAAAAUUCCAGAAAAGAAAUUAUGAUGGAGAGAUACUAAUUUCUUUAUCAGGCUGGGUAUUGAUCCUCAUGUUUUCAUAAUUUAUCAAAAGCUGAAAUCAAAUGUUUGUGCAGGUUUGUUUGCUGCUGCUUUAAUCAUCAUACACUGACAAUCUAUUUAGACUAUAUACUGUAUACAGAUGGGUGACAAAUGAAAGGAAGCCCCUGAGUAUGUGAGUGGUCUCCUCCAGGGUCCACAGGACACGAGGCGUUGCUGACUGGUCUAAUGAGGAUGAUGAUGAUGUGAAUCAGAUGCUGUGGCCUUCACAGCCACCAGGUCUCAGCCCAUUUGA
Molecule: long non-coding RNA, 3836 nt
Organism: Monopterus albus (swamp eel)
Lineage: Eukaryota; Metazoa; Chordata; Actinopteri; Synbranchiformes; Synbranchidae
Exons: 3
Source: RefSeq, a predicted model, not a curated record